CAAGAACUGAGAACAGGAAUCCAACCCACCCCAAUCAUUUAUUCUCUCAUUCACCCAUUCACACUCUACCUGUUGAGCAUGAACCAUGUGCCAGGCACAGUUUGGGUGCUGAGGCUGAACAGAUGGGCAGGACAGCUUCUCUGCCCUCAAGAUACUUAUGGUCCACUGGGGGAGAAAGCCAAUAAAUGGCUUCUGCAACUUGGCUGGGUGACAGGAGACUAUGGAUGGAGCCCACUCAUUCCAGGGACAACACUGGAUGACCACGUCAUUCCUACUGCCCUCUUCCCACAUCUGAUUCUCCAGCUUCCUGUAUGCACUUUGAGAUAUCUUGCACCCCUGCAGCAAUUUUCCAUUUUGCUUAUGUCAGCCAGAUUGCAUGUCUGCUAUUUUAACUGAAUCAGGAUCUGAACACAGACUUGGGCAGGCGGAAGGAAUGGGAGAACAGCCAAAAAGAGGAGGCCUAUGACACCGAGCCGUACAGUAUGAGAAGGCCUGGCAAGGGGAAAGAGAGCAGGGGGCCUCCACGAGGAAGGGGCAGCAGUCUGCAGGCUUGGAGGUGAGAGAGAGCCUGCGCAGUUAGCAAAUGUGAGCAGAGGAUGAGAAAAAAAGAUAUUUGUGUUUAUACAACUGAUCCCCAGGGUCAGUUUGCUGGAAUACCAGAGCACAAGUUUUGGGAGGAGCACAAAGUUCUGUGGGUUUAUCUAGAAAGUCGCUUCGAGCUGCAGAAAUGAGACAUUGUGAGUCAACAGCUGAGGACCAGCCUGGCCCCCCUCCUUGGAAGCUGUGACUGCAGGUGAUCGGUCUCAGUAGGGAGGCCCAUUAACUCGUGUUCCCCUUCCCCUGGGGUGGAGGAGGGGGUGGGGGCACGGGUGGAGAAGGCAGAGCUGAAACUGAGAGCAUAGGGGAUGGGGCAGAGGGCGCAGAAGCGAGGAAGGAUACCAGCGCAGGCACCAGAGCAGGCUGGAUGGCAGCCAGGGGCAUGCGGCCUUCAGGGGCCGGCAUGUCCAAGAGGCCAGGAACCCGGGUAGCUCUGCAGGAGGCAAGGACUGUGGAACCUGUGAGGAGAGAGGACCACCAGGUGUCAGAGGGCACGGGGUGGGAGAUGCGCCAGCCCACGUCAUGACGAGAGGAAGCGAGCAGAGGACUUGGGGCAGUCAGGGCCCUACUUCUUCUUCCUCUGGAAAUCCUUCCUUGCAUCUGGCGCGCGUCACCGGAAUUCGGCAGCACCUGCCGUUCGCCGCCUGCUGCCCUCUCCUGGCGUCCCAUGGAACUGCGCCCUCUGCAACCGUAGGCUUAUUCUUCAAAGGAUGACAAGCUGUUGGCCCGGGCGGACGUCCAAUGGGAGGGUGUCAGAGCCGGAAGGGACCUCACGGAUAAUUUUGUUCAGCCACCACAUUUUACUGACGAAGAAACUAGGGCUUACGGAGGGACAUGACUUAUUCUGGGUCUUAGGCCACAUAAGUGGACUGGAGCAGUCACAGGUGGUCUCCAGGGCCCAUAAUUACCUCCAAGCCUGGGAAACGGGCUGCCCCUGAGAACGCACCCUCAGAGGUUGACUACAGAAUUACAGAAACUCGUCCCCAGUCAGCUGCAUGAUUUUAGCUAUCACUGUUGUAGCUGUUUAUCAGCCCAAGCUGUUGGAUUCUAAAGAAUCUGAGCCCUGGAAGAAGGAUUAAAGGACGAAUAGAAACUUGGUUCCCUAUCUCUCAGGGCAAGAGUCUAACCAUGGAUACUUCUAGAUUUGAGAGACGCAGGGGGAAGGGAUGGGACAGAAGCUCCUGAAGAAUGUGACAUUGCUCAGUUCCACACCCUUUAGGUAGCCAAGCUAAUGUCCUGAAGCAGGAGAUCUGAAAGUCCCUCUCUUGAUCUGAGUAGCCACAGGUCUUGUCCACUCUUGGUCAUGGACCCAGGCUUUCUCCUUUGAAAUCUGGUCACACUGGCAAGUCUCUGACCUCCGGGUGGUGCCUGGCUUGUCUUCUAGAUAAAAUGAAAUAUUCGUAGUCUGUGGGAUGCUAAGGGUGAAAUGAGGUCCUGUUUCUGGCCACCCUCUUCCCUUGGAAGUGUCCAAGUGCUGAAACUGCAGCGGCCAGGUGAGAAUAGACCUUCUUUCUGAAAUGGCGAUUAUCCACUGUGGGCAAUAGCAACCCCAAAGUGGCAGGAGUAAAAGGGGAGGAAAGAAGAGCUCUCUGUGUUUAAAUGCUGCGUUGAGGGCCUUACUGCUACGGAGUAGCUUUGAAACUACGAAUACACAUCAUUGCUCCCGUAAAGGACCUACUAUAGUAAGGUGUGUCCUCCAGGUGGAGACGAAGCAGGAAUCCAGGAAUUGGCCUAUAAGCAGAGUGUGGGCGAUGUGAGGGGGCAGAGCAGUGGCACCCACAGAGAGUGGGCCUGGACAGGAAGAGGCGAUGAGGCACAGACAAAAACCUCAGAGUGGGAACUACUGAGAGAGGAAGAGAGGAGUUCACAUCUCCAAGAGGACAGCUGUCAAAUUCAGGAGUGGGACAGAGCCCACAUGCUCACCACCAAACCUUUUUCCUUCUCUUCCUGGGGACACAGCUAGACCAUGUUUCUUUGCAGGUAGAUGUGGUCAAGUGACCGACUUCUAGCCAAUGGAACAGGGGCAGCAUGCUCCAUGGGAGCCUCCCACGUGUGAUCCUGUCUCUAUUCCCCUGUCUGUCAGCUCAAGGUCAACGUCCAGGGUGACCUUGGGAACUACAUGAUGAAGAUGGCAGAGCUGCUGUCAGUCUGGGUCCCGGAAUGACCCAGACUCAACUGAGUUGAGCCAAUAUCUCAUCCACCUUGUCCCCCACCACAAUCUAGACACACCUAUUUUGUACUGCUACGUGAGUAAGAUAUAUCCCCUUAUUGUGUUAAGUCACUAAAGUUUGGGGGUUAUUACAGCCCAUAGCCAUGCAGUAAUAUAAGGAGCAAGCCUCAGAAUCUCUUAAAAUUGCUUUAAGUAUAAUGGAGAAGGAUCAUGAUAGCAACACCAGCCAUUUGUGCAACUCUCUGCAGUUAAUCAGGGACGUCUCUACCUGGAAGGAGGCCAGCAGAGGAGAUGUCGCUAUCUCUGGUGUCACAGUUGAGUAGGUUGAGCUUUAAAGAGAUACAGUAACUUGCACAGGCUGGCAUAACUGUCAAGUCCUUUGGCAGGACUCAAAGCCACAUUUCCAGAAGGUUUGUAGAGUGUUGUGUGGGAAGGGCCCUCUUACAUGUCCCAGUAGAGACCGUGUCAGAACUCCACCCAUAUUGCCUCAGAGCCCUUUUCCAUUCUCACUCUGGAAAGGCAGCCUCUGCGUCUGCUUCUGAGGGCUGCCUGCAGGCUGCGGGAGUCCACUUGGCCUAUGCGCACAGCGAGCUGGAGGUGCCUGGGAAUCUACACCCCUCCAAGGAUGCCCACUGAUUGCCAGUGCAGCAUGGAAAUGUUCCAGCUCUCUCACUCCCAAUCAAGGCACUCUGGGGUGUGACCUACACUGUCCCUGGGGUUCCCUGUGGGAUGGAGCCAAGUGGGAGUCUUCAGGGGACUUUGCCUGACACUGCACCCUUGCAUGGCCUCCAUCCUUCCUGGUCCCACUCCCCCAUUCCUCUACUGGUUUUCCUUCCUAAUAAGUCACUUUCCCAUUGAUGCUUGUCAUGGGGUGGGAACCUACCCUAAGAUAUUUAAAUAGAGCGCACCUACCUCCUUGUCUAAGUGAAGAAGCUGAUGGGCAGAGAGGGGAAGGAACUUGCUGGAGGUCACACAGAGGAGAAGGCGGCCAGAGCCCAGAUCCCUGAGCAUCGUCCUCUGAUGCUCUGAGAGUUGGCGCCGUGAAGGAAUCUCCCUCCCAAAGUCUGCUCUGUCGACCAUAAUCACUGAGGCAACAGUCAGGGAUUGAACUUGAGCCAAACUGAUUGAACCACCCAGAAGAGCCCUUGCCUGGACUCCUGACGCUCUGCUAUGCACCCAUCCCACUGAAAUAACAGCUGGACAUUCAACCACCAGACACAUAGAGAGCAUCUGUUUGUGCCAGGCAGUGUUCUGGGCGUUGAGGAAUCAAGAUGAACAAGAUGAUUCACGUAUCUGCCUCUCACAAAGGAGAGAGAGAGAAUAGAACACCAGUGAGUGAUAAAUGCUAGGAAGAAAAAGAAACAGGGACCAGGGGUUUGAGAGUGACGGGGGUCAGGGAGGGCCUCGAGAGGAGGUGACAUAGAGUAUGAGACAAAAUGAAGGCACUUCCUCACCCGAGCUUGGUUUUCCCUGGGUCCCCUCUCCUGAAGCAGGAGAAUGCUGUGCUAAGCAUCAGCCGUGGAGUCAGCGUGGCAUCUGGUUGGCGCUCAGCAGACAUUGGCUGUCGCUGAUGGCUGGCUGGCUCUGCCUGGGGGCCUCCUCUGGGUCGGCAGCUUGUACAGUGCUGCCGCAGAGCCCAGACGACUGGCUGGCUCUUGCUCCAGGAGGGCAGAGGAGACGCUGAAAGCAAGGGGGCUGUGGCUUCUGACUGUGCACACGGAGCUCAUACCCCCUAGAACAGCUUUCCAGCCACCAAAGGAUGGAAUCAGAGUUGUCCUCGGCCUUUCAGACAAGCUGUUACCUUAAAAAGGAGAUCUGGAGUUGCAUGCAGGAUGCUCUCCCCAUGACUUCAGAUGGCACCAUGGCCUCCUAUGUCACACCUAUGGCGGGCAUGUUCUCUUCUCAAACUGUAACUAUCUGAAAACCCUUUUGGAGCUCAGCUUAUGUUGUGAGAUCUGCAAUCAGGCAGACAUUGGCUCAACCCCAGUGUUGUGUGCUUUUGGGUUCCUCAUAGACCCUCUCUGAGCUCAGACCUGAAACAUGAAUAUCCCAGGCUGAGGAAACAGCCAGCGCAAAGCCUCUAGGGCAGAAAUGAGCUCAUGUGUUUAGGGAGCAUUUGUGAAAAAGGGUAAGAAAAGCCCUUCCCACUUAGGGCUGCUCUGAAGGUCAGUGCAACCAGCUACACCUCCUGCUUCAUUCCGAACCACCCAUGACUCCCGAAGGGGGCUUGUUGCAUCUGGAGGAGGGGGUGAUGCUACUGUGAGCAAGCCCAGAGCCUCUUAGGUGGGAGAGAUGCGAGGGACCUCCCCGCCUAGCCCAGACAAUUGCCCGUCCCAGGCAAGGGCCCCCACCAGACUCAGCAUCCCCUGCUCUGCUUUAAUCCCCACUGAAAUUGGCCUUGUGUUUGUGUGUGGGGGGUCAGGCAGGACUUUAAAAUAUUCUUAUCUUUAAGUUUUGCUUUCACAACAGCAAAGAAAGCAAAAGUCACCUUUGAGCCCAAAUUGCAGAGAUAACUUCCUAAUUCUGGGUUGUAUUUUACUUCUGUCUUUGUUAUAAUAAAUAUUUUUACAUAGUUGAGAAAUCACUGUAUGUCAUUUUUUUCUCUUCCUACCAAUUCGUUUAUUUUCUUGGCCUG
Molecule: long non-coding RNA, 5402 nt
Filed under: Equus caballus (horse)
Lineage: Eukaryota; Metazoa; Chordata; Mammalia; Perissodactyla; Equidae
Description: lncRNA (ENSECAG00000050831.1)
Source: RNAcentral